AUGUGUAUUUACUUUUAUUAUUUGAAACUGAAAAUUUUGAAUUUCAAAUGUUUCAAAAUAAAGACUUCAAUGAAGUUCGGUCUUCAAAAUGACCUACUCAAGAAGGACCAAAUUCAAACACCAGCUAGUCAGCAACCCGAAACAGUUACUGGUACAAGAUACAUGCUGCACUACAACAGAAAAGAAAUAAGAACGCAAAGAGACGGGCAGAACGAUGCAGUAAAGUACAGAUUUUCCAUAGCUUUGCCGCCCAUCCACCCUCGCACUGCACUUUAUGCCGAAGAACACGUGCCCAAGUUUGGUUUACAGUGA
This 312-nucleotide ribosomal RNA is filed under the name Triticum aestivum (bread wheat). RNAcentral describes it as "partial small subunit ribosomal RNA". The record is from RNAcentral. Lineage: Eukaryota; Viridiplantae; Streptophyta; Magnoliopsida; Poales; Poaceae.